Bos taurus (domestic cattle) is the source of this 1468-nucleotide long non-coding RNA. The record is from Ensembl. NCBI's taxonomy places the organism in Eukaryota, Metazoa, Chordata, Mammalia, Artiodactyla, Bovidae.
UCCUCUGUCUGGGCCCCGCCCACUCUGGCCACGUGACUCACUUCAACCAAUACAGCAGCGCACAAGGGAUGCUGCGCCAAUUCUGGGGCUAAGCCUUCCUUAAAGGUGUUUUUGCACUUUGGGGAACCCUGAGCUGCCAUGUUAAAAGUCCAGCUACCUGGAGAGAUGCCAUGAAGAGGUCACGUUGAGCGGGAGAAGCCCUGAGGCUACACAGGGAGAGAAGGAGAGACAGACGGACAGAGAGAGAAGAGAGGCAGGGAGCCCCCGCGGAGCCCUCUCCAUCACUCCAGUUGUCCCAGCCUUGGGACAGGGGUUGCUGACCCAGAGCCUCCGUUCUGAAUGACCUGAAGCUCACGAUACACAAAUUCCCACUCGACGAGCGUCUUUUCUGCAGAGAGAGGGUACUGAAGGUCAGCGGCUGCAGUAGCACGUGACUCAUCCUUAUAGAGGGAGAUGUGUGCUCAGCCGCUCAGUCAUGUCCGACUCUGGACCCCACAGACUGCAGCCCGCCAGGCUCCUCUGUCUCCAGGAUUUUUCAGAGCACAGACUCCAGGUUCUAGGGCUCAGGAGCCGUGGCACGCAGGCUUUAGUUGCUCCCCAGCGUGUGGAAUCCUCCUGACCCAGGGAUCGAACCUGUGUCCCCUGCACCGGUAGGGGAGCCACUGUACCACCAGGAGAAACAACAGCCCCACGCUUGUCUGCAAAGUGCGGGCAGCCCUCCCCAUGGCUCCUCUGCUCGUCCUGCCCUGGCCGUGGCCAUGCCUGCCUGCCCUUGAGGAAGGAGGACCAAGGCACUAAGGUGUUCUCAGUGGGGCUGAGUGCCUCUGUCAGCUCAGGGCAACACAAGACCCUCAAACUCGGGGGCUCAAAUCAGCUGCUCCUUUGUCCUACGGCUCAGCUGGGUGGUUCUCCAGUCUUGGGGUCUUCUCACUCGUUGGUGGGAAGCCCCGGGAGUACGCAGCUUUGCUGGCUCUGUCUGUCUCUCCCCCAACUCUUGGGCCUAGACUGGACUGACUGGGCUGACUCCCUGACUCUCCACGUGCUUAGCCCAGGCAGGCUGGCCUGGACUUCGUCCUGGGAGUGGCAGGGUGCCACCACCCCCUCCCUGUCUGGUUCUUUGCAAAGCAGCUAUGAAGAAUUUUAGAGGCAGGUACCACAGGGGCCUGUGAGUCAAUUCUUAGAAUAGGACGUGAUCAUCUCUUCUGGGAAGAAGGGUUUGCAGCCACUGCUGAUUCCUGACUGAGUCAUGGGUGCCUUUAUCAGGAGGCGGGAGAGCACGGCUUAGGUGCCUGUGAGCUGGGUGUGUGCGUCUGCUUCUUAACCUUCACCAUUCACAGCCCUGUGCUCACUGCACCCUCUGGAUGAGCCAGUGGGCUGGGAAGGAAGCUUGGAGCCAACGUGACUAACAAUUUCUAAAUUCUCUAGGUGGCAAUUAUAGGGAAUAAAGAGAAAGGCAUAAUUUCAAAAC